Molecule: ribosomal RNA, 468 nt
Filed under: uncultured bacterium
Lineage: Bacteria
Description: partial 16S ribosomal RNA
Rfam family: Bacterial small subunit ribosomal RNA
Source: RNAcentral
GACGAACGCUGGCGGCGUGCUUAACACAUGCAAGUCGAACGGAAAGGCCCUGCUUUUGUGGGGUUCUCGAUUGGCGAACGGGUGAGUAACACGUGUGUAACCUGCCCUUGACUUUGGGGUAACUUCACGAAACUGGGGCUAAUAUCGGAUAGGAUCUCCUGCUCCAUGGUGGGGGUUGGAUAGUUUCGGCUGUUGGGGAUGGACUCGCGGCUUAUCAGCUUGUUGGUGGGGUAGUUGCAUACCAAGGCUUUGACGGGUAGCCGGCCUGAGAGGGUGAACGGGCACAUGGGGACUGAGAUACGGAGCAGACGCGAACGGGAGGCAGCAGUGGGGAAUAUUGCACAAUGGGCGGAAGCCUGAUGCAGCAGCGCCGCGUGCGGGAUGACGGCCUUCGGGUUGAAAACCGCUUUCGCCUGUGACGAAGCGUGAGUGACGGUAAUGGGUAAAGAAGCACCGGCUAACUACGUG